GUAGUCGUGGCCGAGCUGGUUAAAGCGAUGGACUAGAAAUCCAUUGGGCUCUGCCUGCGCAGGUUGGAAUCCUGCUGACUACG
RNAcentral lists this transfer RNA (83 nucleotides) under Saccoglossus kowalevskii. Its description in RNAcentral is "tRNA-Ser". It matches the Rfam family "tRNA". Rfam says of the family: Transfer RNA (tRNA) molecules are approximately 80 nucleotides in length. Their secondary structure includes four short double-helical elements and three loops (D, anti-codon, and T loops). Further hydrogen bonds mediate the characteristic L-shaped molecular structure. tRNAs have two regions of fundamental functional importance: the anti-codon, which is responsible for specific mRNA codon recognition, and the 3' end, to which the tRNAs corresponding amino acid is attached (by aminoacyl-tRNA synthetases). tRNAs cope with the degeneracy of the genetic code in two manners: having more than one tRNA (with a specific anti-codon) for a particular amino acid; and 'wobble' base-pairing, i.e. permitting non-standard base-pairing at the 3rd anti-codon position. Lineage: Eukaryota; Metazoa; Hemichordata; Enteropneusta; Harrimaniidae. The record is from RNAcentral.